UUUUGUGUCUUUAAGUUGUAUGAAAAUUGCUAAUAAAAAGUAGAUAUUUAAAAAAAACAGUAGACGUAUUAUUACAUAAAAUAUAAAAUAUCUAACUAAAGAUUAAAUAUUAGGGAUGAUUAAAUGUCGGAUUAGAUUAUUUUCCGGGCCCGAUUUGCUUGUGCAGGUCCAUUAAGGUGGAAUAACUUGGUCAUAGAUUUUUAAUCUCACUCUACCCUUAUUCAAUAAUGGGAUCAAUUUAAUUAGUGUGGCAAGUUUUAAUAUUUGUACGUGUACAUAUGAAGUUAAUUUUUUAAUUUUUAGAAUUAACUCAUGAAACUCAUGAAAUUCAGGUACAUUUAAACACAUUAAGUAGGGGCAGAGCGAAGUUACUGAUAUUGGACUUCAGUUAAGUGUUACCAAUUGUUUACUUUAACAAUGUAUCGUUUACGAGUGAACAACAUGUGUUUGGGAUGGUAUGGGAUUCAAAGGGUCUAUGUCGCCUUGACCUUUGUAUUAAACUCUCUAGUAAAGUAACUGUUUGCGGGCCGGGAAAAUCGGACCGUAAAGAUGCUGUGCACUUGUAUGUCGUUGAGUUAAAUUGAUUGUCUUUUUCCGCAAAUUGUUUUCACAUUUUGAGUGCAAUAUUUUUUAACUCAGCCCCUAAGAUUACAAAUCGCAAUAACCUAGCAUUUAAAUAAGUGCUAUAUCAAAAGUUCCUCAUCCUGAAUCGGUAUGAAAUUAUGGACCAAAGUUACAGACAUUAUUUAUGGAUUCCCCCAUAGCUAAAUGGAGUAUUUCGAGAUAGAUGUUUGUGAAUUGCGAGCAUUAGUUCAUGCAGCACAGCAGCUUUUUACAUGAGGCGUGUAUUAAGCAGGCUGCUUCGCUCUCGUAUGAAACGAGUAGAGUCGUACUAGCAGCAGCGUUGUUGUGCAGGGUAUGUAGAGUGCGUUGAAUGUUGAGUAAUGUAAUUGGACAAUGGUUCAUUUAUCCUUAAAAAUGGUGACCUGAAACCUUCUACCCCAAAGGAAGGUUGGGGGACAUUUUCGCAGGGUCCAAAAUGAACAUGCACAUGUCAAAGUGCAGCUGAUGAGGGCGGGAAAAGACCGGUGUAAUUGGUGGGGAAAGAAUGGACUAGAUGAGCUUUGAACGCAGCAGCACUUUUUUUCCAGGUUGUGGAUCGUCACAGUCAAAAGUUCUUUCAAAAUCACCAGAAAGACAUGAACAGCUUCAACAAAAUGUGACUGAUCCAACAAAUAUAAAAUGCAAGGGUAGCUGUUGGAAUUCAGUUUCAUUUUCCCAAAAAAUUUAAGUUUAGCACUUGAAGUUUUUGGACCACAUUACUUGUCAACUACUAAUACUAGUCUACUAAGUAUAUAGCACGUCAUAAUAAAAGGGAGAAACUACACGUAGGUCUAUUCAUAAUAGGUAGGUUGCGAGUUAGCGGGAGUUCACGUAAACGCUAACGUAAACGUAAAAUUUGGCGUUAACGUUUACGUUUACGGGGUGUACGAAUUUUUGCGUGUGCGAAUUAACGUGAACGUAAACGUGUGCGCUGAAUUUGAAUUUCAUUUCAAUGGUUUGUUUACAUUCUUCAUGCAAUAUUUUGCUUAUUGUAAUUAUUUAAUUUAUCUUAUUAUAAACUAGCUUGAAAUGCCAGUGUUUUCAAAACAAAUAGUAAAUUUACUCUCUGAAUUGACCGACUUCGAAAUAGAGGACAUUCUUCCUUCAAAUAAUUAAAACAAAAUAAGUUUGAAACCUAAAUGCGCCCUUAAACUUCGGGGCGCGAUUGCUUGUCGGCGGAGACCCUUUGUGCAUUACUCUAAGGAUUGCAUAUUCCAACAGAUACGUCGACUUGAUGUAACUUUUUCCUCCUACUCAUUGCAGUCACGGAUUUUUCAUCACGGCAGCCAAACUUCGGAUAACUUUUGUGAAGCAAUGCCAGAUCUUGAGCAUUAUUUAUAUUUUCCAUGAAAUUGUGUGUAUAAGAAAAUCUAGAUGCCAUGUACUAAGGCUUAAUUUCUGUAUUGUAUAAACAAUAAAUUUACUUGUUUCUAAUUAAUUCAAAUAAUGCUUUUGUUAUUUCAGCUCUUCAUUUUGUGUAAUAUCAUUCACUUUCCAUACUUCCUUUCCUC
This is a long non-coding RNA of Folsomia candida, 2114 nucleotides long. RefSeq lists it as uncharacterized. Lineage: Eukaryota; Metazoa; Arthropoda; Collembola; Entomobryomorpha; Isotomidae. The record is from RefSeq and is a predicted model, not a curated record. The transcript has 3 exons.